GUUCUUGUAGUUGAAUAACAAUGGCGGCUUUUCAUGCUGUAGGCCAUGGUUAGACUCCAUGUGAGAAUU
Molecule: transfer RNA, 69 nt
Filed under: Tupaia belangeri chinensis (Chinese tree shrew)
Lineage: Eukaryota; Metazoa; Chordata; Mammalia; Scandentia; Tupaiidae
Description: Tupaia chinensis (Chinese tree shrew) tRNA
Rfam family: tRNA
About the family: Transfer RNA (tRNA) molecules are approximately 80 nucleotides in length.
Source: Rfam by way of RNAcentral